UUUAGAUGGCGACCGGCGCACGGUGAGUAACACGUAUCCAACCUGCCGAUGACUCGGGGAUAGCCUUUCGAAAGAAAGAUUAAUACCCGAUGGCAUAGUUCUUCCGCAUGGUAGAACUAUUAAAGAAUUUCGGUCAUCGAUGGGGAUGCGUUCCAUUAGGUUGUUGGCGGGGUAACGGCCCACCAAGCCUUCGAUGGAUAGGGGUUCUGAGAGGAAGGUCCCCCACAUUGGAACUGAGACACGGUCCAA
This 249-nucleotide ribosomal RNA is filed under the name uncultured bacterium. RNAcentral describes it as "partial 16S ribosomal RNA". It matches the Rfam family "Bacterial small subunit ribosomal RNA", at positions 83 to 334 of the family's 1533-position model. The record is from RNAcentral.